UCAGGUGUACAAAGUUAUUAUAGA
This 24-nucleotide non-coding RNA is filed under the name Arabidopsis thaliana (thale cress). The record is from RNAcentral. Lineage: Eukaryota; Viridiplantae; Streptophyta; Magnoliopsida; Brassicales; Brassicaceae.